Molecule: long non-coding RNA, 1284 nt
Filed under: Equus caballus (horse)
Lineage: Eukaryota; Metazoa; Chordata; Mammalia; Perissodactyla; Equidae
Description: lncRNA (ENSECAG00000056105.1)
Source: RNAcentral
CAACCAAUGGCCAAAGCUGUAAACUAAAGCUGCUAGGUGUCCGGGCAUUCAAAGGAGAGUUUGACCAGCCUGCGGCACCUCCUCAGAGGAACCACCAACCCACCCCACCUGACCCUGUCCCAUUGCUUUCUGAGCCACAGAACUGAGGGCCCAUGUGAGGACGUGCCAUGGAAGUACGUGGUGAGAGAGUGCUGGAGACAGCUUGACAUGCUCCCCGCAGCCGUGUGCACACAGAGGCUGGAUACCCCUGGGAGCCUGUGCCAGCAGGUCUCCAGUGACAGAAGACUUAGGGUGAAACUGAACACCACUCCCAUAAAGGCACACCCACCGCCUACUCAGAGACCACCAGGAUCCUCACAGACCCCUUCCUCAUUGGAGUGGAGACCAGGACCCCGUGCCACGGACCACCCCCCAGACAAUGAGCGGACUCUGCCACAUGGCUUCUCCCCGCCCCGCAUAUCAGAAGAGGGGGAAGAGGGGAGAUCCUAGAACUAGGCCACACCACCCCUCCCAGCCAGUGGGGAUGGGGUUGAAUCAUUAAAGAGGUUGGAGUUUUACAGAGAAGUGGACACAUUUCAAUACUGGAAAGUUGCAAACUCUGCCCAAGUUGGCAGUAAGGGACAGUAAAGGGAGAUUAUACAGAGGCCAGCUGAGAGCAGCGAUUUGGGGGCAACAAAGAAAUUUUGUGUUUACACUCUGUGGGUUGAGCCUUCUCAACUCCUUCUGGCUGCCCGCACGUCCGUUGUAAGAGCAGAGUAUCGUUUGUUUAAACCGUUCCCAGUCCAUUCAGUCUUUGGCGAGUUCAAACGAUGCUGCCAGGCCACAUGUCUGGUUUGAGUCCAUCUGUGGGUAAAUUCUUCAGAGCGCAUUUCCAGAACUUUCGUAGUCUGAACACAGCCUCUGCCUCUUGAAGACUGCUGUCCUGUCUUGGAACUCAACCUCUUUCGGCACCAGAAGCGGCGUGCCCCAAAGCCAGACUGCUCCCCCCGGCCGGUGAUCUGAACUCGGCUGUCUCAGUGGGGACGCAGGGGGACGUUCUCUUCACUCUGCCCAGGACACCUGGGGAAGCAGAGUCCUCCAGACAGGGCAUUUCUUCCAACUGCCUCGCUCUUGUCCGGUUAGGGACUUCCUCCUCCCUCUGCAUCUUGGGGGCAGAAAUCCUCCUGCUGGUUCCCAUUGAGUCAAGUGCUGGCUCCUCUGCCCCAUGUCCCUUAGCGGGUCUUACUGCAGAGGGUGAGGGCCAGCCGUGGCCCAGCCUUGGUUUGGGAAAUGGACCAGGGGAAG